UAUUCUCAACCUUGAUAGCUUUUGUUAUUCAAGGCUUGGAUGUGAGGGUUUGCUGGCUUCCUUCAGUGGCGGUCUGCUCCCUUUAAAUGCAUUAGUGAGAUCUCUUGUGAAUCGGUUCACUUGGUGUGAUAAUUAUCUACGCCGCUUGACUGUGAAGCAAAAUUAUGGGAACUUGCUUACAACCGUCUUCGGACAACACUUUUAAU
Molecule: unclassified non-coding RNA, 206 nt
Filed under: uncultured Mycena
Lineage: Eukaryota; Fungi; Basidiomycota; Agaricomycetes; Agaricales; Tricholomataceae
Description: sequence contains ITS2
Source: RNAcentral